Molecule: long non-coding RNA, 705 nt
Filed under: Lathyrus oleraceus (garden pea)
Lineage: Eukaryota; Viridiplantae; Streptophyta; Magnoliopsida; Fabales; Fabaceae
Description: Pisum sativum (pea) long non-coding RNA (PSAT_LNC018505)
Source: RNAcentral
GCAAUUCCAAAGUUUAUUAAGAUACAAGGUACAACCAGAAUUCUAAGUCCAAGCUUCAAGAAUAUGGUGUUAGUGAGCAACUUCUUGUGGCAUUCAAAGAAGAUAGAAAAACAGAUUACCAAAUAGUACAUCCAAAAGUAAUAAGAUCCUCACAGGAUAAAUUUCACUCAACUCUCAAGAGUUUAAGUUAAUUGUUUACACUCAAAGCACAACAUGAAAGUUAGUACUACCAUAAGCUUGAAAAGACUCUAACACCCACAAUUGAAAUACAUGCACAUAAAGAUCAAAAGGACUUUUAUUUGGUUGUAAUGUGGCCAAGGUAAGGGUGAGAUAAAUUCUAAGGGGUACUAGGCUAAAAUUCAAAGAGACAAAAGAGACUUGAAAGAAACUGCGGGAGUUGAGUUUACAAAAUAUUUCAUUCACUUCAACAACUCUAUAUUAACUGUUUUUGUUUAUAUUUUUUUCUCCUUUCUCUUUUUUUCUUUUUCAUAAGGAGUAUGUAUUGACAUGUAUACAUCCUUCUAUUUUUUUCAUUCAUUUUUUUUCGUUUCUAUUUUCUUUUUCUAUUUUUCUUUUCUUUUUCUACCAACUUCUGAAAUUUAUUGACAUGUAUACAUCCUUCUAUUUUUUUCAUUCAUUUUUUUUCGUUUCUAUUUUCUUUUUCUAUUUUUCUUUUCUUUUUCUACCAACUUCUGAAAUAUUGCA